UACAGAGGGUGCGAGCGUUAAUCGGAAUUACUGGGCGUAAAGCGUGCGUAGACGGUUAUUUAAGUCGGGUGUGAAAGCCCCGGGCUCAACCUGGGAAUUGCAUUCGAGACUGAAUAGCUAGGGUACGGUAGAGGGAAGCGGAAUUUCCGGUGUAGCGGUGAAAUGCGUAGAUAUCAGGAGGAACACCUGUGGUGUAGACAGCUUACUGGACCAUUUCUGACGCUGAGACACGAAAGCGUGGGGAGCAAACAGG
Molecule: ribosomal RNA, 253 nt
Filed under: uncultured bacterium
Lineage: Bacteria
Description: partial 16S ribosomal RNA
Rfam family: Bacterial small subunit ribosomal RNA
Source: RNAcentral